This 679-nucleotide ribosomal RNA is filed under the name uncultured bacterium. Its description in RNAcentral is "bacterial SSU rRNA". It matches the Rfam family "Bacterial small subunit ribosomal RNA", at positions 54 to 735 of the family's 1533-position model. The record is from RNAcentral.
CAUGCAGCCGAGCGGUAGAGAUCUUUCGGGAUCUUGAGAGCGGCGUACGGGUGCGGAACACGUGUGCAACCUGCCUUUAUCAGGGGGAUAGCCUUUCGAAAGGAAGAUUAAUACCCCAUAAUAUAUUGAGUGGCAUCACUUAAUAUUGAAAACUCCGGUGGAUAGAGAUGGGCACGCGCAAGAUUAGAUAGUUGGUGAGGUAACGGCUCACCAAGUCUGCGAUCUUUAGGGGGCCUGAGAGGGUGAUCCCCCACACUGGUACUGAGACACGGACCAGACUCCUACGGGAGGCAGCAGUGAGGAAUAUUGGACAAUGGGUGCGAGCCUGAUCCAGCCAUCCCGCGUGAAGGACGACGGCCCUAUGGGUUGUAAACUUCUUUUGUAUAAGGGAUAAACCCUACUCUCGUGAGGAGUAGCUUGAAGGUACUAUACGAAUAAGCACCCGGCUAACUCCGUGGCCAGCAGCCCGCCGGUAAUACGGAGGGUGCAAAGCGUUAUCCGGAUUUAUUGGGUUAAAGGGGUCCGUAGGCGGAUCUGUAAGUCAGUGGUGAAAUCUCACAGCCUUACUGUGAACUGGCCAUUGAUACUCCAGUCUUGAAUGUUGUUGAAGUACCGGAAUAAGUAUGUAGCGGUGAAUGCAUAGAUAUACUAGACCCCAUUGGCAGGCCGGUUACUAGCA